Molecule: ribosomal RNA, 484 nt
Filed under: uncultured bacterium
Lineage: Bacteria
Description: partial 16S ribosomal RNA
Rfam family: Bacterial small subunit ribosomal RNA
Source: RNAcentral
ACUCAAAUGAAUAGACGGGGACCCGCACAAGCGGUGGAGCGUGUUGUUUAAUUCGAUGCUAAGCGAAGAACCUUACCCAGGUUUGACAUCCUGUGAAUUUCUACGAAAGUAGAGAGUGCCUUCGGGAAUACAGUGACAGGUGAUGCAUGGCCGUCGUCAGCUCGUGUCGUGAGAUGUUAGGUUAAGUCCUUUAACGAGCGCAACCCUUAUAGUUAGUUGAAUUUUUCUAGCUAGACUGCCCUGGUAACAGGGAGGAGGGAGGGGAUGAUGUCAGGUCAGUAUUUCCCUUAUAUCUGGGGCUACAAACACGCUACAAUGGCCGGUACAGAGGGCAGCCAACCCGCGAGGGGGAGCAAAUCCCAUCAAAGCCGGUCUCAGUUCGGAUAGCAGGCUGAAACUCGCCUGCUUGAAGCUGGAAUCGCUAGUAACGGUAGGUCAGCACACUACCGUGAAUACGUUCCCGGGUCUUGUACACACCGCCCGU